GAUUAAGGUUUAGUUGUUGUUGUUAUUGUAUCUAUCAAUUAGAUGCAAGCAUAAUACAACAUGGAUAGCUAUGUUAUUGCAUAUCAUUUUCAAAAGUAAAGUUGAGUGUUUUGUUUUUCUUUUGCCAUUUUUAGGCCAUUUUGGAUAUAUUGAACUGCCAAUACCUAUCUAUCAUCUGAGUCAUGUUAGUGAACUGAAGCAACUGUUGAGCUUAUUAUGUUUAAAGUGCUUGAAAAUGUAAACAAACAAGGUACUUUCUGAUUUAAUAUUCCUCCAUCUUUCGUUUAGUUUCUUUAGUUUUGAGUAGAACUAUAGAAGUGCAGAAU
Molecule: unclassified non-coding RNA, 326 nt
Filed under: Hevea brasiliensis (rubber tree)
Lineage: Eukaryota; Viridiplantae; Streptophyta; Magnoliopsida; Malpighiales; Euphorbiaceae
Source: RNAcentral